RNAcentral lists this ribosomal RNA (305 nucleotides) under uncultured bacterium. Its description in RNAcentral is "bacterial SSU rRNA". It matches the Rfam family "Bacterial small subunit ribosomal RNA", at positions 334 to 657 of the family's 1533-position model. The record is from RNAcentral.
GAGCCUACGGGGCGCAGCAGUAGGGAAUAUUGCUCAAUGGGGGAAACCCUGAAGCAGCAACGCCGCGUGGAGGAUGAAGGUUUUCGGAUUGUAAACUCCUUUUGUUAGAGAAGAUAAUGACGGUAUCUAACGAAUAAGCACCGGCUAACUCCGUGCCAGCAGCCGCGGUAAUACGGAGGGUGCAAGCGUUACUCGGAAUCACUGGGCGUAAAGAGCGCGUAGGCGGGAUAGCAAGUCAGAUGUGAAAUCCCGCGGCUCAACCGCGGAACUGCAUUUGAAACUGUGCUUCUUGAGUGCUGGAGAGG